This 496-nucleotide ribosomal RNA is filed under the name uncultured bacterium. Its description in RNAcentral is "partial 16S ribosomal RNA". It matches the Rfam family "Bacterial small subunit ribosomal RNA", at positions 28 to 507 of the family's 1533-position model. The record is from RNAcentral.
GAUGAACGCUGGCGGCGUGCUUAAUACAUGCAAGUCGAGCGAACGGACGAGGAGCUUGCUUCUUUCAUGUUAGCGGCGGACGGGUGAGUCACACGUGGAUACCCUACCUAUAAGACUGGGAUAACUUCGGGAAACCGGAGCUAACACCGGAUGAGAUUUUGAACCGCAUGGUUCAUAGGUGAAAGACGGUCUUGCUGUCACUUAUAGAUGGUUCCGGGCUGCUUUGGCUAGUUGGUAGGGUAACGGCUUACCAGGGCAACAAUGCAUGGCCGACCUGAGGGGGGGAUCGCCCACUCGGGAGCUGAGCCACGGCCCAGACUCCUAGGGAAGGCAGCGGUGGGGAAUCUGCCGCAAGGGGCGAAAGCCUGACGAAGCAACGCCGCGUGAGUGAUGAAGGUCUUCGGUUCGUAAGACGCUGUUAUUGGGGAAAAACGUAUGUGUAUGUAACUGUGCGCAUCUGACCGUUACGUAAGCAGAAGGCCCCGCCAACCUCCUG